Molecule: ribosomal RNA, 250 nt
Filed under: uncultured bacterium
Lineage: Bacteria
Description: partial 16S ribosomal RNA
Rfam family: Bacterial small subunit ribosomal RNA
Source: RNAcentral
UACGUAGGUGGCAAGCGUUGUCCGGAAUUACUGGGCGUAAAGGGUGCGCAGGCGGACAUUUAAGUGAGAUGUGAAAUACCCGGGCUUAACCCGGGCAGUGCAUUUCAAACUGGGUGUCUGGAGUGCAGGAGAGGAGAACGGAAUUCCUAGUGUAGCGGUGAAAUGCGUAGAGAUUAGGAAGAACACCAGUGGCGAAGGCGGUUCUCUGGACUGUAACUGACGCUGAGGCACGAAAGCGUGGGUAGCAAAC